AUCCCAGAUAUCUCCAGGUGUAUCCCAGAUAUCUCCAGGUGUAUCCCAGGUGUCUCCAGGUGUAUCCCAGAUAUCUCCAGAUAUCUCCAGGUGUAUCCCAGAUAUCCCCAGGUGUCUCCAGGUGUAUCCCAGAUAUCCCCAGGUGUAUCCCAGGUGUCUCCAGGUGUCUCCAGGUGUCUCCAGGUGUAUCCCAGAUAUCUCCAGGUGUAUCCCAGAUAUCUCCAGGUGUAUCCAGGUGUCUCCAGGUGUAUCCAGGUGUAUCCCAGGUGUCUCCAGGUGUCUCCAGGUGCCUCCAGGUGUCCCCAUAUAUCUCCAGGUGUCUCCGGGUGUAUCCCAGAUAUCUCCAGGUGUAUCCCAGAUAUCUCCAGGUGUAUCCCAGAUAUCUCCAGGUGUCUCCAGGUGUAUCCCAGAUAUCUCCAGGUGUCUCCGGGUGUAUCCCAGAUAUCUCCAGGUGUAUCCCAGAUAUCCCCAGGUGUAUCCCAGGUGUCUCCAGGUGUUUCCAGGUGUCUCCAGGUGUAUCCCAGAUAUCUCCAGGUGUCUCCAGGUGUCUCCAGGUGUCUCCAGGUGUCUCCAGGUGUAUCCCAGAUAUCUCCAGGUGUAUCCCAGGUGUCUCCAGGUGUCUCCAGGUGUCUCCCAGCUGUCCCCAGGUGUCUCCAGGUGUCUCCAGGUGUAUCCAGGUGUGCCCAGGUGUCUCCAGGUGUGCCCAGGUGCAUCCCGCUGUUUUCCAGGCGUUCUCCCGGGCGCUGCCGCUGGCGCAGCUGGAGCUGGACUUGGUUUUCGGGGGGGCCCUGAGGGAGCUGCUCCCCCCCAUCGCCCGCCGGCUCUUCCCGGGAUACAGCCCCAAGGUCGGGAUUUUGGGAACCCAAAAAUGGGAUUGGGGAUGGAAAAAUGGGAUUUGGGACCCAAAAAAUGGGGUCAGGGGCACAAAAAAUGGGAUUUGGGAGCCCAAAAAUGGGGUCGGGGGCACAAAAAAUGGGAUUUGGGGACGGAAAAAUGGGAUUUGGGAGUGAAAAAAUGGGAUUUGGGGACACAAAAAUGGGAUUUGGGACUGAAAAAAUGGGAUUUGGGACCCAAAAAAUGGGAUUUGGGACCUAAAAUAUGGGGGAAGACCCCAAAAAAUGGGAUUUGGGGGCACAAAAAUUGGGAUUUGGGACCCAAAAAAUGGGAUCAGGGGCACAAAAAAUGGGAUUUGGGAACCAAAAAAUGUGAUUUGGGACC
This 1218-nucleotide long non-coding RNA is filed under the name Manacus vitellinus (golden-collared manakin). Its description in RNAcentral is "lncRNA (ENSMVIG00005002921.1)". The record is from RNAcentral. Lineage: Eukaryota; Metazoa; Chordata; Aves; Passeriformes; Pipridae.